This 504-nucleotide ribosomal RNA is filed under the name uncultured bacterium. RNAcentral describes it as "bacterial SSU rRNA". It matches the Rfam family "Bacterial small subunit ribosomal RNA", at positions 28 to 524 of the family's 1533-position model. The record is from RNAcentral.
GACGAACGCUGGCGGCGUGGAUUAGGCAUGCAAGUCGAACGGUAUCAUCCUUUCGGGGGUGAGAGAGUGGCGAACUGGUGAGUAACACGUAGGUUAUCUACCCUCAAGACGGGGACAACCCGGGGAAACUUGGGCUAAUACCGGAUGUGAGCAACUUUUAGUUGUUUGAAAGGUGGCGUAAGCUGUCGCUUGGGGAUGAGCCUGCGUCCUAUUAGUUAGUUGGUGAGGUAACGGCUCACCUAGGCAAUGAUAGGUAGGCGGCCUUAACGGGUGGUCGCCCACACUGGGAUUGAGAUACGGCCCAGACUCCUACGGGAGGCAGCAGUCGAGAAUAGUCUACAAUGGUCGGAAGACUGAUAGUGCGACGCCGCGUGAACGAUGAAUCCCUUCGGGGUGUAAAGUUCUUUUAUAUGUGAGCAGUGCUUCUUAUAUUAACAGUAUGGGGAGAGAGAUAUUAGCAUAUGAAUAAGCAACGGCUAACUCCGUGCCAGCAGCCGCGGUAAU